GUUCUGUUAAAGGUCAUGAGGAUCUCCACUCUCCUACAGUGUUCCUAAACAGAGUGGUAGGUGGAGGGAUAAGUUGAUCCCUGAGGACCUAACCACAGACCCAGGGUAUGCAGGUCGGGUGGAGUAUCCUGACCAAGAGAGUAGUAGAUACAGAGGUCCCUUCACCCUGAGAAUCACAGGUCUGAGAGAGGAGGACUCAGCUGAAUAUCGCUUCACUUUUAAAACAUACAACUUUGAAUGGGGUCAUAGUCUCCCUGGAACAACUCUGACUGUCACCGUUGUUCAGGUGGAUGUGAGUCCUAAAGAGUGGUCAGAAUCAAAGAAGCUGACC
This is a long non-coding RNA of Esox lucius (northern pike), 331 nucleotides long. RefSeq lists it as uncharacterized. The record is from RefSeq and is a predicted model, not a curated record. The transcript is spliced from 3 exons. NCBI's taxonomy places the organism in Eukaryota, Metazoa, Chordata, Actinopteri, Esociformes, Esocidae.